This 450-nucleotide ribosomal RNA is filed under the name uncultured Leptolinea sp. Its description in RNAcentral is "bacterial SSU rRNA". It matches the Rfam family "Bacterial small subunit ribosomal RNA", at positions 917 to 1382 of the family's 1533-position model. Lineage: Bacteria; Bacillati; Chloroflexota; Anaerolineae; Anaerolineales; Anaerolineaceae. The record is from RNAcentral.
GGGCCCGCACAAGCAGCGGAGCGUGUGGUUUAAUUCGAUGCUACACGAAGAACCUUACCAGGGUUUGACAUGCAAGUGGUAGGAACCGAAAGGUGACCGACCUUCGGGGAGCUUGCACAGGUGCUGCAUGGCUGUCGUCAGCUCGUGUCGUGAGAUGUUCGGUUAAGUCCGCUAACGAGCGCAACCCUCGCUGUGUGUUACAUGUGUCACACGGGACUGCCGGUCUUAAACCGGAGGAAGGUGGGGAUGAUGUCAAGUCAGCAUGGCCUUUAUAUCCUGGGCUACACACACGCUACAAUGGCCGGUACAAUAGGUUGCGAAGCCGCGAGGCGGAGCCAAUCCUCAAAGCCGGCCUCAGUUCAGAUUGCAGGCUGCAACCCGCCUGCAUGAAGAUGGAGUUGCUAGUAACCGCAGGUCAGCAAUACUGCGGUGAAUACGUUCCCGGGGCUU